GGACUACAAGGGUUUCUAAUCCUGUUUGCUCCCCACGCUUUCGCACCUGAAUGUCAAUGUUGGACCAGGAAGCCGCCUUCGCCACUGAUGUUCCUCCAGAUAUCUACGCAUUUCACCGCUACACCUGGAAUUCCGCUUCCCUCUUCCACAUUCGAGCAAUGCAGUUUCGAAUGCAGUUCCCAGGUUGAGCCCGGGGAUUUCACAUCCGACUUACAAAGCCAUCUACGUGCGCUUUACGCCCAGUAAUUCCGAUUAACGCUCGCACCCUCUGUAUUACCGCGGCUGCUGGCAC
Molecule: ribosomal RNA, 292 nt
Filed under: uncultured bacterium
Lineage: Bacteria
Also listed under: 1 other name
Description: partial 16S ribosomal RNA
Source: RNAcentral